This 74-nucleotide microRNA precursor is filed under the name Medicago truncatula (barrel medic). RNAcentral describes it as "MIR5272 microRNA precursor family". It matches the Rfam family "MIR5272 microRNA precursor family". The record is from Rfam by way of RNAcentral. Lineage: Eukaryota; Viridiplantae; Streptophyta; Magnoliopsida; Fabales; Fabaceae.
UUGAGUGCAAAUUAGUUUAUGUUUGGAUACACUCGCUUAAAAGUGAUUCUUAUGGGUUGAUCUUGCUUGAAUAA